RNAcentral lists this ribosomal RNA (253 nucleotides) under uncultured bacterium. Its description in RNAcentral is "partial 16S ribosomal RNA". It matches the Rfam family "Bacterial small subunit ribosomal RNA", at positions 524 to 776 of the family's 1533-position model. The record is from RNAcentral.
UACGUAGGGCGCGAGCGUUGUCCGGAAUUAUUGGGCGUAAAGAGCUCGUAGGCGGCCGGUUGCGUCUGCUGUGAAAUCCCGGGGCUUAACCCCGGGCGUGCAGUGGAUACGGGCCGGCUGGAGGCAGGCAGGGGAGAAUGGAAUUCCCGGUGUAGCGGUGAAAUGCGCAGAUAUCGGGAGGAACACCGGUGGCGAAGGCGGUUCUCUGGGCCUGUACUGACGCUGAGGCACGAAGGUCAGGGGAGCAAACGGG